RNAcentral lists this ribosomal RNA (468 nucleotides) under uncultured bacterium. Its description in RNAcentral is "partial 16S ribosomal RNA". It matches the Rfam family "Bacterial small subunit ribosomal RNA", at positions 28 to 507 of the family's 1533-position model. The record is from RNAcentral.
GAUGAACGCUGGCGGCGUGCUUAACACAUGCAAGUCGAACGGUGAAGGCGGAGCUUGCUCUGCUGGAUCAGUGGCGAACGGGUGAGUAACACGUGAGCAAUCUGCCCCUGACUCUGGGAUAAGCUCUGGAAACGGCGUCUAAUACUGGAUACGAGCUGCGAAGGCAUCUUCAGCAUCUGGAAAGAACUUCGGUCAGGGAUGAGCUCGCGGCCUAUCAGCUUGUUGGUGAGGUAACGGCUCACCAAGGCGUCGACGGGUAGCCGGCCUGAGAGGGUGACCGGCCACACUGGGACUGAGACACGGCCCAGACUCAUACGGGAGGCAGCAGUGGGGAAUAUUGCACAAGGGGCGAAAGCCUGAUGCAGCAACGCCGCGUGAGGGAGGACGGCCUUCGGGUUGUAAACCUAUUUUAGCAGGGAAGAAGCGAAAGUGACGGUACCUGCAGAAAAAGCGCCGGCUAACUACGUG